GUUGAAUGCCUUUGAGAACUUGAUGCAUAAAAUUUGCAUGACUCCUCACUCCUUUCUGGAUCUCUCAUUGGACUCAAGCCAGCAUGGCUCACACCACAAAGGUUAACGGCAGUGCCUCAGGAAAAGCAGGUGAUAUUCUCAAUGGAGACCAGGACAAGGAACAGAAAGACCCUUACUUUGUGGAGACCCCCUAUGGUUAUCAACUAGACUUAGAUUUCCUCAAAUAUGUGGAUGACAUACAGAAGGGAAAUACCAUCAAAAGACUGAACAUCCAGAAGAGGCGGAAGCCAUCCGUGCCAUGCCCAGAACCCAGGACCACAUCUGGUCAGCAAGGUAUAUGGACUUCCACUGAAUCCCUCUCAUCCUCCAACAGUGAUGACAACAAGCAGUGCCCCAACUUCCUCAUAGCCAGAAGUCAAGUUACAUCAACUCCAAUCUCAAAGCCACCUCCCCCUCUGGAGACCUCACUCCCUUUUCUUACCAUCCCAGAAAAUCGACAGCUGCCACCUCCCUCACCACAACUCCCAAAGCAUAACCUUCAUGUCACCAAGACACUGAUGGAGACCCGGAGAAGACUGGAACAGGAGAGAGCCACCAUGCAGAUGACACCGGGUGAGUUCAGAAGGCCCAGGCUGGCCAGUUUUGGAGGCAUGGGCUCCACAAGCUCCCUCCCUUCUUUUGUGGGUUCUGGAAACCACAAUCCUGCCAUGCACCAGCUUCAGAAUGGAUACCAAGGUAAUGGGGAUUAUGGUAGCUAUGCCCCAGCUGCUCCCACCACUUCCUCCAUGGGGAGCUCCAUCCGCCACAGCCCCCUGAGCUCAGGGAUCUCCACCCCAGUGACCAACGUGAGCCCCAUGCACCUGCAGCACAUCCGCGAGCAGAUGGCCAUUGCUCUGAAACGCCUGAAGGAGCUGGAGGAGCAGGUGCGAACCAUCCCUGUGCUCCAGGUAAAGAUCUCUGUCUUGCAAGAAGAGAAAAGGCAGUUGGUCUCACAGCUGAAAAACCAAAGGGCUGCAUCCCAGAACAAUGUCUGUGGUGUGAGGAAGCGGUCCUACAGUGCGGGGAACGCCUCCCAGCUGGAACAGCUCUCCCGGGCCCGAAGAAGUGGCGGGGAAUUAUACAUUGACUAUGAGGAGGAGGAAAUGGAGACCGUAGAACAGAGCACGCAGAGGAUAAAGGAGUUCCGGCAGCUUACAGCAGACAUGCAAGCCCUGGAGCAGAAGAUCCAGGACAGCAGCUGUGAGGCCUCCUCAGAGCUCAGGGAGAAUGGAGAGUGCCGGUCUGUGGCUGUGGGUGCCGAGGAGAACAUGAACGACAUCGUCGUGUACCACAGAGGCUCCAGGUCCUGUAAGGAUGCAGCUGUAGGGACACUUGUUGAGAUGAGAAAUUGUGGGGUCAGCGUGACAGAGGCCAUGCUUGGAGUGAUGACUGAAGCCGACAAAGAAAUUGAGCUGCAACAGCAGACCAUAGAAGCCUUGAAGGAAAAGAUCUAUCGCCUAGAAGUACAGCUUAGAGAAACCACCCAUGACCGGGAGAUGACUAAACUAAAACAAGAGCUGCAGGCUGCUGGAUCGAGGAAAAAGGUUGACAAAGCCACGAUGGCCCAGCCGCUUGUUUUCAGUAAGGUGGUGGAGGCAGUGGUGCAGACCAGAGACCAAAUGGUCGGCAGUCACAUGGACCUGGUGGACACGUGUGUUGGGACCUCCGUGGAAACAAACAGUGUAGGCAUCUCCUGCCAGCCCGAAUGUAAGAAUAAAGUCGUAGGGCCUGAGCUGCCUAUGAAUUGGUGGAUUGUUAAGGAGAGGGUGGCAAUGCAUGACCGAUGUGCUGGGAGGUCUGUGGAAAUGUGUGACAAGAGUGUGAGUGUGGAAGUCAGCGUCUGCGAAACAGGCAGCAACACAGAGGAGUCUGUGAACGACCUCACACUCCUCAGGACAAACUUGAAUCUCAAAGAAGUGCGGUCUAUCGGUUGUGGAGAUUGUUCUGUUGACGUGACCGUCUGCUCUCCAAAGGAGUGCGCCUCCCGGGGCGUGAACACUGAGGCUGUUAGCCAGGUGGAAGCUGCCGUCAUGGCAGUGCCUCGUACUGCAGACCAGGACACUAGCACGGAUUUGGAACAGGUGCACCAGUUCACCAACACCGAGACGGCCACCCUCAUAGAGUCCUGCACCAACACUUGUCUAAGCACUUGGGACAAGCAGACCAGCACCCAGACUGUGGAGACACGGACAGUAGCUGUAGGAGAAGGCCGUGUCAAGGACAUCACCUCCUCCACCAAGACGCGGUCCAUUGGUGUUGGAACGUUGCUUUCUGGCCAUUCUGGGUUUGACAGGCCAUCAGCUGUGAAGACCAAAGAGUCAGGUGUGGGGCAGAUAAAUAUUAACGACAACUAUCUGGUUGGUCUGAAAAUGAGGACCAUAGCUUGUGGGCCACCACAGUUGACUGUGGGGCUGACAGCCAGCAGAAGGAGCGUGGGGGUUGGGGGUGACCCUGUAGGGGAAUCUCCGGAGAACCCCCAGCCUCAAGCUCCACCUGGAAUGAUGACCGGCCUGGAUCACUACAUUGAGCGCAUCCAGAAGCUGCUGGCAGAACAGCAGACACUGCUGGCUGAGAACUAUAGUGAACUGGCAGAAGCUUUCGGGGAGCCUCACUCACAGAUUGGCUCCCUCAACUCUCAGCUCAUCAGCACCCUGUCGUCUAUCAACUCUGUCAUGAAAUCUGCAAGCACUGAAGAGCUGAGGAACCCUGACUUCCAGAAAACCAGUCUGGGUAAAAUCACAGGCAAUUAUUUGGGAUAUACCUGUAAGUGUGGAGGCCUUCAGUCAGGAAGUCCCUUAAGCUCCCAGACAUCCCAGCCUGAGCAAGAAGUGGGGACCUCAGAAGGAAAGCCAAUCAGCAGCCUGGAUGCCUUCCCCACUCAGGAAGGUACGCUGUCUCCAGUGAACCUGACAGACGACCAGAUCGCCGCUGGCCUCUAUGCAUGUACAAACAAUGAAAGUACACUGAAGUCCAUCAUGAAGAAGAAAGAUGGUAACAAAGAUUCAAAUGGCGCAAAAAAGAAUCUUCAGUUUGUUGGCAUUAAUGGAGGGUAUGAAACAACUUCAAGUGAUGAUUCCAGCUCAGAUGAAAGCUCUUCUUCCGAGUCAGAUGACGAGUGUGAUGUCAUUGAGUAGCCUCUUGAAGAAGAGGAGGAGGAGGAGGAUGAAGACACUCGGGGAAUGGCAGAAGGGCACCAUGCAGUUAAUAUUGAAGGUUUGAAGUCUGCCAGGGUGGAAGAUGAAAUGCAGGUUCAAGAAUGUGAACCUGAGAAGGUGGAAAUCAGAGAGAGGUGUGGUACAUUCCCCUUCCCUCCCUUGCCCCUCCCACAUUUAAUGUACUUUGGCAAUAGAGUUGGCCAGUUCAGAGCUUUUGUAAUUAAAUGUUUGCUUUUAUCUGUUCCUCAGAGGUAUACACAUCUUGAGAUACUAAUAUAUACAAGUGCAGAGUAUUGCAACUCUUAGAUCUCUUAUGGUAGAAUGGCCUGAUAACCUAAUCACCCUUGUUUUCUGAAACCUUAACUCUGCUAUAUAAUUUAACAUAUGGAACCACAAUCCACUAAAACUUCCAUUGUUUGAACACCUUACCUUAUAUUUAAAGACAUUUUAAUUUUUUGGUGGCCAGCCUACUGUAAGAUUUCAGAUUUUAUGUUUAGCCAUUUAUCUUGAUACAGGAUCAUUGUGUGGAUGAGGCCUCAGCCAAAGAUCACAUAUACUGUAAAGAUGAUGCAUAUCACUUACAUGUUUGUAUUUUGUUACACAUUGAAUGAUCAGGAAUACCACAAGAAUGGAGUUGGGUAUAUCAUAAAUAGUAGCUGAAAAACACUCUGGUUGGCUGAAACAUGUGCCUCAAAAUGUAAGUUUUCAAGACCAUUAGAUAAGGAUUUGAUGCUCAUAAAAUAGAGAGUAGAAAAGGUGGAAACUUCAGUAUGGUUCUUCACUAUGUGAAAUAGAAAUAGAACAUUUCACAAAACUUACCUCUAUUUAAUUUGGCAAAUGAAAGUUUAACUGCAUUAACACAAGGUAAGUGUUUUUAGUUUAUAUUUCCAAGUGUUUCACAUGGCUUUUUAACAGCUUUGAGAUGUAAUUUAUAUACCAUAUGUCAUUUUUUUACUCUUCAUAUGGGUUAAACACUUGAGUCACCAAAUGUGGGUUCAGAUGUGUGGUUUACUGGUCAGCACAAUGGAUAUAUGGUAAUUUGUGGAAAGUCAAGGCAAGAGGAUCGCUUGAGCACAGGAGUUUGAGACUAGCCUGGACAACAUAGUAAGACCUACAUCCCUACAAAAAUAUCAAUUACCUGGGCAUGGUGUCACAUGCCAGCUGCUCUGGAGGAUAAGGUGGGAGGAUCACUUGAACCCUGGAGGUUGAGGCUGCAGUGAGCCAGUGCACUCCAGUCUGGGUGACAGAGCAAGACCCUGUCUCAGAAAAAAAGUAAUUUGGGUCUCCUUCAACCCCCUUAAGAUUAAAAAUAUUUUUUAAAAACUUAGAACAGGUUGGGCACAGUGGCUCACACCCAUAAUCCCAAUACUUUGGGAGGCUGAGGCAGGCAGGCAGAUAGCUUGAGCCCAAGAGUUCGAGACCAGCCUGGGCAACAUGGUGAAACCCUGUCUCUACAAAUACAAAGCCGGGUGCGGUGGCACACACGUGUAAUCCCAGUUACUUGGGAAGCUGAGGUAGGAAGAUUGCUUGAGGCUGGGACAGCAAAACUACAGUGAGCCGUGAUUGCACCACUGCACUCCAGCCUGGGCAACAGAGUGAGACCUUGUCUCAAAAAAAAAAAAAAAAAAAAACUUAAAAUGGCAAAAAAAAAUCUUUAAAUGUUAUUCCAGAAUGUCAUAAAGGCCAAUUGGUGAAGCCGAAUGUCACCCUCCCAAACAAGGCCUCAAUCUCUGGCUGGAGGUGUUGGCUCUGCACAGUGGACGUAACCCCCUUAGACCCCUAAGGAUUUCUGUGCUGCCUCCACCCAAGCACCUUGUGCCAUAAUGACCUGCCUAGGCUGGCUUGGGGCCACUUGCCUUUUAAAAAUUGAAGCUGCGCACAGUGUCCCACACCUGUAAUCCCAGCACUUUGGGAAGCCGAGGCAGGUGGAUCACCUGAGGUCAGGAGUUCAAAACCAGCCUGGCCAACAUAGUGAAACCCCGUCUCUACUAAAAAUACAAAAAUUAGCUGGGCCUGGUGGUGCACACCUGUAGUCCCAGCUACUAGGGAGGCUGAGGCAGGAGGAUUGCUUGAAUCCAGGAGGCGGAGGUUGCAGUGAGCCAAUAUCAUGCCACUGCACUCCAGCCUGUGCGACAGAGCAUGACCCUGUCUCAAAAAAAAAAUUAUAUAUUUGGGUUGAAAUAAAAAUGAUUUUCUUCUUGUGACCAAUCGUAACUUGUUUUUUCUCCUUUCAGGUAUGAAUUAAGUGAAAAGAUGUUGUCUGCAUGCAACUUACUGAAAAAUACUAUAAAUGACCCCAAAGCUUUGACCAGCAAAGAUAUGAGGUUCUGUCUGAACACCCUCCAGCACGAGUGGUUCCGCGUGUCCAGUCAGAAGUCAGCCAUUCCAGCCAUGGUGGGGGACUACAUAGCUGCUUUUGAGGCCAUUCCCCAGAUGUCUCCGCUAUGUCAUCAACUUGGCAGACGGCAACGGCAACACAGCCCUCCAUUACAGCGUGUCCCACUCCAACUUCGAGAUUGUGAAGCUGCUGUUAGAUGCCGAUGUGUGUAAUGUGGAUCACCAGAACAAGGCAGGCUACACCCCCAUCAUGCUGGCGGCCCUCGCCGCUGUGGAAGCAGAGAAGGACAUGCGGGUUGUGGAAGAACUCUUUGGCUGUGGGGAUGUGAAUGCCAAAGCUAGUCAGGCGGGACAGACGGCCCUCAUGCUGGCGGUCAGUCACGGACGGAUAGACAUGGUGAAGGGCCUUCUGGCCUGUGGGGCUGAUGUCAACAUCCAGGAUGACGAGGGCUCCACGGCCCUCAUGUGUGCCAGCGAGCACGGGCACGUGGAGAUCGUCAAGCUGCUGCUGGCCCAGCCCGGCUGCCACGGUCACCUAGAGGACAACGAUGGCAGCACUGCGCUCUCAAUCGCCCUGGAAGCAGGACACAAGGACAUCGCUGUUCUUCUGUAUGCCCAUGUCAACUUUGCAAGAGCCCAGUCUCUGGGCACCCCUAGGCUUGGAAGGAAGACGUCUCCUGGCCCCACCCACCGAGGUUCAUUUGAUUGAUUGUAUGCAAAUAGCCCUUCAUUUACAUGCCACUAUUCAGCUGCUAAUUGUUCCUGUUGGGGUGACAGAUACUGAAUGUAUACGUAUUGUGCCUGAGCUCACCAGCAAACAGAAGCAUCAAGCCCAGGGGUAAAGGCUGAAGCUUUCACAGUGCAGAGACUGCUAGCCUGGGCACACGCACCUCCUUUCUGGCCAUCUUCUGUGUAGGGCACACUUUAACCCAGUCUCUGUUGCUGUUGAGUCUCUGCUCCGUUUUGUACAGUCAUAGGGAAUUCUGAUCUGAAGGGGCACCUUCUGUUCACUCCCACAAAGAAGUGUCUGGUUCUCACUGAGACGUUUUAAGAUUUUUCCACAAAUAUUUAUAUUUACUAAAUGUGGAACCACCAGAAAGUUCUUCCAAAAUCUCAUUCCAGCAUAGUUUUGGAUUUUUCUUUUGUCUUAAAAUAAGGAAGUCGAGAUGACUUUGAUCAUUGGUAACGUGGGCCUGGGCCAGACACAACUCUCAAAGUAUAAAACUUAGAAAAGAUGAUGCUCAUUUGGUCUUAGCCAGGUAGAUGUAAUAUAUGACUUUUUAUAAAAAGGGUAUCUAUAUGAACUUGACACAGUCUUUUCAGCUUUUGUAUUCCAUACUGAAGCCAUGAAGAACUACACGUAACAUCAUCAUUUGUAUUAAUUGCACAACUCCAAUGCUAAAGGUUGGAUUGUGUUAGAGGAAUCAGCUCUGUAUUUGCCUCUAGAGAAACACAGUGUAGUUCUCUUUGUAUUUAUGGAUUCCUUUUUACCGUGUCACAUUUACUUUGGUCCUCUAUGUAUUUAAAUGUUUGAAGUGCCUUAGACUCUUGCCAUAUUUUCAAAAUAAAAUUUCAUUAAGCUCU
This 7115-nucleotide small RNA is filed under the name Pan troglodytes (chimpanzee). RNAcentral describes it as "processed transcript". Lineage: Eukaryota; Metazoa; Chordata; Mammalia; Primates; Hominidae. The record is from RNAcentral.